RNAcentral lists this ribosomal RNA (162 nucleotides) under Fouquieria fasciculata. Its description in RNAcentral is "5.8S ribosomal RNA". It matches the Rfam family "5.8S ribosomal RNA". From Rfam's summary of the family: 5.8S ribosomal RNA (5.8S rRNA) is a component of the large subunit of the eukaryotic ribosome. It is transcribed by RNA polymerase I as part of the 45S precursor that also contains 18S and 28S rRNA. RNAcentral also lists the same sequence under 1 other name. Lineage: Eukaryota; Viridiplantae; Streptophyta; Magnoliopsida; Ericales; Fouquieriaceae. The record is from RNAcentral.
AAAAUGACUCUCGGCAACGGAUAUCUCGGCUCUCGCAUCGAUGAAGAACGUAGCGAAAUGCGAUACUUGGUGUGAAUUGCAGAAUCCCGUGAACCAUCGAGUCUUUGAACGCAAGUUGCGCCCGAAGCCUAGGCCAAGGGCACGUCUGCCUGGGCGUCUCAC